UUAUCCGGAUUUAUUGGGUUUAAAGGGUGCGUAGGCGGCCUUUUAAGUCAGCGGUGAAAGUCUGUGGCUCAACCAUAGAAUUGCCGUUGAAACUGGGGGGCUUGAGUAUGUUUGAGGCAGGCGGAAUGCGUGGUGUAGCGGUGAAAUGCUUAGAUAUCACGCAGAACCCCGAUUGCGAAGGCAGCCUGCCAAGCCAUGACUGACGCUGAUGCACGAAAGCGUGGGGAUCAAACAGGAUUAGAUACCCUGGUAGUCCACGCAGUAAACGAUGAUCACUAGCUGUUUGCGAUACACUGUAAGCGGCACAGCGAAAGCGUUAAGUGAUCCACCUGGGGAGUACGCCGGCAACGGUGAAACUCAAAGGAAUUGACGGGGACCCGCACAAGCGGUGGAGCAUGUGGUUUAAUUC
Molecule: ribosomal RNA, 409 nt
Filed under: uncultured bacterium
Lineage: Bacteria
Description: bacterial SSU rRNA
Rfam family: Bacterial small subunit ribosomal RNA
Source: RNAcentral